GGCGAGAUGGCCGAGCGGUCAAAGGCGCUGGUUUUAUUCAAAAGUCUCUUCGGGGGCGUGGGUUCGAAUCCCACUCUGGUCA
This is a non-coding RNA of Angiostrongylus cantonensis (rat lungworm), 82 nucleotides long. NCBI's taxonomy places the organism in Eukaryota, Metazoa, Nematoda, Chromadorea, Rhabditida, Metastrongylidae. The record is from Rfam.